AUCCGGCUGACGAGUCUCGAACAGGACGAGGUGCGCGUCCUGUAU
This 45-nucleotide non-coding RNA is filed under the name Schistosoma mansoni. The record is from RNAcentral. Lineage: Eukaryota; Metazoa; Platyhelminthes; Trematoda; Strigeidida; Schistosomatidae.